GACGAACGCUGGCGGCGUGCUUAACACAUGCAAGUCGAACGAAGAGCGCUGGCAGCUUGCUUGUGUCCAAGUUGGGAACGGACGGGUAAGUAGCGAGUAAUCAACCCGCCAUUCUGGGGUGGACACCAGUAGGAAACGACUGCUAAUACCGCAUACGCUCUCAUCUCGGCAUGGGGGAGAGAGGAAAGGUGGCCUCUACAGGUAAGCUAGCACUGAAGGAUGGGAGUGCGUCUGUUGGGUAAGUUGGAGGGGAAGGGGACCAGGAAGGCGAUGAUCAGUAGUCGGUCUGAGAUGAUGGGCAGCCAGAUUGGGACUGAGGCACGGCCCAGUGUCCUACGGGAGGCAGCAGUGGGGAAUCUGCCGCAAUGGACGAGAGUCUGACGGAGCAACGCCGCGUGAGUGAUGACGGCCGUCGGGUUGUGGAGCUCUGUCAUUCGGGACGAAAGGCCUUCUGGCUAAUAGUGAGAAUGAGUGACGGUACCGGGAUAGGAAGCCACGGCUAACUACGUG
Molecule: ribosomal RNA, 510 nt
Filed under: uncultured bacterium
Lineage: Bacteria
Description: partial 16S ribosomal RNA
Rfam family: Bacterial small subunit ribosomal RNA
Source: RNAcentral